This 75-nucleotide transfer RNA is filed under the name Nitrososphaerota archaeon. Its description in RNAcentral is "tRNA-Pro". It matches the Rfam family "tRNA". From Rfam's summary of the family: Transfer RNA (tRNA) molecules are approximately 80 nucleotides in length. Their secondary structure includes four short double-helical elements and three loops (D, anti-codon, and T loops). RNAcentral also lists the same sequence under 1 other name. Lineage: Archaea; Thermoproteati; Nitrososphaerota. The record is from RNAcentral.
GGGGCCGUGGUCCAGCAUGGAGUGGACGCUGGCCUGGGGCGCCAGAGGUCGCGAGUUCAAAUCUCGCCGGCCCCA